CCUACGGGAGGCAGCAGUGGGGAAUUUUGGACAAUGGGCGCAAGCCUGAUCCAGCAAUGCCGCGUGAGUGAAGAAGGCCUUCGGGUUGUAAAGCUCUUUUGUCAGGGAAGAAACGGUUGUUCCUAAUACGGAUGGCUAAUGACGGUACCUGAAGAAUAAGCACCGGCUAACUACGUGCCAGCAGCCGCGGUAAUACGUAGGGUGCAAGCGUUAAUCGGAAUUACUGGGCGUAAAGCGUGCGCAGGCGGUUAUAUAAGUCAGAUGUGAAAUCCCCGGGCUCAACCUGGGAACUGCAUUUGAGACUGUAUGGCUAGAGUGUGUCAGAGGGGGGUAGAAUUCCACGUGUAGCAGUGAAAUGCGUAGAUAUGUGGAGGAAUACCGAUGGCGAAGGCAGCCCCCUGGGAUAACACUGACGCUCAUGCACGAAAGCGUGGGGAGCAAACAGGAUUAGAUACCCUGGUAGUCCACGCCCUAAACGAUGUCUACUAGUUGUCGGGACUUAAUUGUCUUGGUAACGCAGCUAACGCGUGAAGUAGACCGCCUGGGGAGUACGGUCGCAAGAUUAAAACNCAAAUGAAUUGACGGCUGAGAGAGCGAGACGACGACGAGGGAGGAGG
Molecule: ribosomal RNA, 617 nt
Filed under: uncultured bacterium
Lineage: Bacteria
Description: bacterial SSU rRNA
Rfam family: Bacterial small subunit ribosomal RNA
Source: RNAcentral